GGGCCUCUGGCGCAACGGUAGCGCGUUGUAAGUUACACUUCACCAAGCAAUAGCUUGUGAACUUCUUCUAACAAAUUCACAGCGACUCCAGAUCGAAAGGUUAUCCGUUCAAAUCGGGUGGGGCUCA
This is a non-coding RNA of Aspergillus arachidicola, 127 nucleotides long. The record is from the annotation of a GenBank genome assembly. NCBI's taxonomy places the organism in Eukaryota, Fungi, Ascomycota, Eurotiomycetes, Eurotiales, Aspergillaceae.